CAUUACCACACCUAAAAAACUUUCCACGUGAACCGUUUCAACCCAAUAGUUGGGGGUCUUAUUUGGCGGCGGCUGCUGGCUUAAUUGUUGGCGGCUGCUGCUGAGUGAGCCCUAUCAAAAAAAAGGCGAACGUUUGGGCUUCGGCCUGAUUUAGUAGUCUUUUUUUCUUUUAAACCCAUUCCUUAAUACUGAAUAUACUGUGGGGACGAAAGUCUCUGCUUUUAACUAGAUAGCAACUUUCAGCAGUGGAUGUCUAGGCUCGCACAUCGAUGAAGAACGCUGCGAACUGCGAUACGUAAUGCGAAUUGCAGGAUUCAGUGAGUCAUCGAAAUUUUGAACGCAUAUUGCACUUCCGGGUUAGUCCUGGAAGUAUGCCUGUAUCAGUGUCCGUACAUUAAACUUGACUUUCUUCCUUCCGUGUAGUCGGUGGAGGAGAUGUCAGAUGUGAAGUGUCUUGCGAUUGGUCUUCGGACCGGCUGCGAGUCCUUUUAAAUGUACUAAACUGAACUUCUCUUUGCUCGAAAAGUGGUGGCGUUGCUGGUUGUGAAGGCUGCUAUUGUGGCAAAUUGGCGACUGGUUUGUCUGCUGCGGCAUUAAUGGAAGAGUGUUCGAUUCGUGGUAUGGUUGGCUUCGGCUGAACAAUGCACUUAUUGGACGUUUUUCCUGCUGUGGCGUGAUGGACUGGUGAACCAUAGCUCGGUGGCUUGGCUUUUGAAUUGGCUUUGCUGUUGCGAAGUAGGGUGGCAGCUUCGGUUGUCGAGGGUCGAUCCAUUUGGGAACUUAAUGUGUACUUCGGUAUGCAUCUCAAUUGGACCUGAUAUCAGGCAAGAU
This is a ribosomal RNA of 831 nucleotides. The stretch from base 235 to 389 matches the Rfam family "5.8S ribosomal RNA".